Molecule: long non-coding RNA, 698 nt
Filed under: Sus scrofa (pig)
Lineage: Eukaryota; Metazoa; Chordata; Mammalia; Artiodactyla; Suidae
Description: lncRNA (ENSSSCG00025065969.1)
Source: RNAcentral
AGGACCGUGAUCCAGGAGUUAAAUCGCUCCUUUUAAGGCCGUUCUCUCCCAGCCCUGUGAGAAGAGGUAAUUUUGCAAAUUAGCCCAAGAACCCUGAAUGAGUUAACCCCUGUGAAGCAGGAGUGCAUCUCGCUCCACCACCAAAGGUUUAGGCCUGCACGUUCCAGACCCUUCUGCUGCCUUCUCCCUCUGGGCCUGUUCACGUCACUCCAGCUCUUCUCCAAGGAGCCGGCUGGGUCUGGCCGGAGACGCUGCCAGCUCCACGGAGCCGUCAGCCUUCAGAGCAGCACCUUGGGCCAGGAAACACGGACAGGGGGAGUUCUGUGUGCGACUAAUGGACCCCAGAUAGAGCCACUCUUCAGUCACUGCCGUCACUUGAAAAUGCAUUUCCAGUUGACAAUAGCCGUCUGCCUAUAGAUAGCUCCACGCAGAGAUGGCUGGUCAGGCUGCUCUCCCAGAUGCCUGGGUCAGCAAUUUCCAAAGCAUCCAGUCAGCAGUUCCUGCUUCCUCCAGCAAAGUCUGGCUCUCUCCUCCCAUCUCCCAGUCCCAGGACAGGGUCCGGGCCUAGAGGGGACAGUGGCCGCCCCAAUCCGUUGCCAACAGCAGGCCCCUCUCUCUGCGCUGCCUCCAGGCCCCCAGGACAGGUGACUUGGACCGCGCGGCCCUGGGGCAUAUGCAGCCUGGCUGGGCGGUGCUGA